RNAcentral lists this unclassified non-coding RNA (2249 nucleotides) under Neodiprion lecontei (redheaded pine sawfly). Its description in RNAcentral is "protein phosphatase 1B, transcript variant X4". Lineage: Eukaryota; Metazoa; Arthropoda; Insecta; Hymenoptera; Diprionidae. RNAcentral also lists the same sequence under 1 other name. The record is from RNAcentral.
AUGGGGGCAUUUUUAGAUAAACCGCAAACAGACAAGUACAAUGAGCAUGGGGCUGGGAACGGUUUGCGAUAUGGAGUCGCCAGCAUGCAGGGCUGGCGGGUUGAGAUGGAGGAUGCUCACCGAGCCAUAACCGGUCUUGAGGGUGGCUUGUCGGACUGGAGUUACUUCGCCGUGUUCGAUGGCCACGCAGGUGCUCUUGUGUCUGCGCACAGCGCGGAGCAUUUGUUAGAGUCAAUAAUGCAAACGGAGGAGUUUAAGGCGGAGGAUGUAAUAAAGGGUAUUCACUCAGGCUUUUUGAGAUUAGACGACCGAAUGCGAGACUUGCCGGAGAUGAUUACAGAUAAGUCUGGCUCGACGGCUGUUUGUGCUUUCAUUUCUCCCAGGCAAAUUUAUAUCGCAAACUGCGGAGAUUCAAGGGCUGUACUGUGCCGAUCUGGUAAUCCAGUGUUCUCAACCAGAGACCACAAGCCUGUUUUACCUGCUGAGAAGGAGAGAAUCCAAAAAGCUGGAGGGAGCGUCAUGAUCCAGCGAGUUAACGGGUCGCUCGCUGUUUCUAGAGCCUUAGGAGAUUACGAGUACAAAAAUGUCGAGGGUCGUGGCCCAUGCGAACAGCUAGUCUCACCCGAACCCGAAAUAUUUGUCAGGGAAAGAGACGACGUCAAUGACGAAUUCCUGGUUUUGGCAUGCGACGGGAUUUGGGACGUUAUGACCAACGAGGAUCUCUGUGAUUUCAUUCGUUCUAGGCUACUCUUGACUGACGAUUUGGAAGCAGUCACCAACCAAGUCAUAGAUACCUGCCUAUAUAAGGGUAGCCGAGACAACAUGAGCAUAGUUUUGGUAACGUUACCUGGUGCCCCGAAGCCAAGCGCAGAGGCACAGAAGAAAGAAGCUGAAUUGGAAAUGGCCAUUGAAAGGAGGAUCAAAGAAAUAGUAACGCAGCAGGAGGGCCAGGAUGGAAUCGAUUUCCCACAGCUGCUCCAACAUCUUAUAGACCAGGAAAUGCCCAAUCUUCCACCCGGAGGUGGUCUUCCUGCCAAGCGACCAUUCAUCGAACAGGUGUUCCGGGAAGUUUGCCCCAGCAGGGCGAACAGUAUAGAAGAAGAUGAGUCAAGGAAAGUUCGAAUUAUUCGUUGCAUAUACAACUCGAUGCGUCUGCAUUCUAAACAAAGCUGAACGUAGAAAACUGAUACAAGGCCGGCCUAAGAAUUGAGCAGUAUUCCGCAGUUACAAGGAGUCAAGGACUAGUUAGUGCAUACAAUAUGUAUACCAUUUUAUACGUGUUGUAUGGAAUAAUCUGGCGAAUGAGAGAACAGCAGAUUUGAGACAUCGUCAACUACAACUAUGAUGGGUUUGCCGCAUUAAGUCACAAUUGUAUAGAACAAUAAUUAAUCAUUAAAUCACACGUUAGUCAAUACCAAACAAUAUACCUUGCAUUACAUUACACUUGUACAACUGACAAAAAAAACCUACGUUUUUAAGAGUUUACUGUAUAAAGCGGUUUAAUAUGAUACUAGCCAAGGGUGAGAUAUAUAAAUUAACUUACACACAUGCUAGCAUAUUUAUAUGAUUAAGCCAUUACCUCACAAUACCUACUUCCAUCACAGCGUAACUCAUAUUGCAGAAAAUUUUGGAUCGUAUCUCUUUACGAAGAUCCACUAUUAUAGAUAUAUCUUACUUUUAAAUUCAGGUAGUAGGAAAAUAAUGAAUUUAAUUUUCAUUUAAUUUUCAUUUAAUAUUCAUUUAAGAGUAAAGCAGCUUUUAUUAUUUCGUACUGUAAUUUCUCUCAGUUUUCAUCAUAUGAAUUUCGCGUAACUGCCACAAUACAAGUCUGGGCCAGAUAAUUAUAGUUUUCUUCAAGCUGUACUUAAUUUAAAUUAUAUAUACACAUAUAUCGCAAUAAUUUCGAAUAUCCUCAUCCGUGUUGAAUAAAUAAAACAAUCUUGUUAGAAAAUCAAUUGAAUUAUGUGAAGUAAACUAUUGAAUCGAAAUGAAGUACUUAGAACAGUAGUAUGCAUUCACAGGUAAACUGCAUCCCAUCGAAGAUUUAAUGAAUCAGAACAUUUUUUUUUUUACUAAUUUUUCUUCUAAAAAGAUUUAUUGUAACAUUGAUACUCGGCAGUCUUUAGUUUCAGAAUAUUCUUACUUGUUUCCAAUUCUUAUAGCUAUGAUGCGUAAUUCGGUAAUCUAAACUAUGACAAUUUCAUUAUUCUGUUGAUUUAUUCACGAAAAAAAAAAAAAAAAAACGAUAA